GCUGCUCGGCCCGGCCGCCGUCGGAGCUCCUCACGGAGCUGCCCGCCGGCACCGCGUAUUGCACCUGGGUCAUGGCAACCCUCGGCGUCAGUGCAAGCUGGGGGAUGUAAGGAUGGAGCACAGCCCUGCCAAAAUGGACCUGGGGGUGCUGGUGGAUGGCAGCUGGACAUGAGUCGGCACUGUGCCCUCACAGCCCAAAGCCAACCAUACCCUGGGCUGCAUCAAAAGCAGUGUUGUCAGCAGGGCGAGGGACAGGAUCUGCCCCUCUGCUGCUGGGGAGAGAGGAACUGUGUUGAGGAUGGGUUGAGCUGGCUGUCAGCAUAAAGGCAAGCCAUGAAGACAUGAGCAAGAAACCUGCAGGAACAGACUCUGAGCAAAAAUCUACUACUGUUUGUAACCCCCACAGGUAUUUUCAAGUACAGUGCUCAAAGGUGCACCCUUAGAAGGGAGCAGAGAUCUUGUAGGGUGUCCAUACAGGCACAGCACUUUGGAAGCGCAGUUGGCAUAGCAAGACAUGCAGAGGUGCAAAAGGUUUGCAAGGAAAGUGGCUCUCAUCCAGCCCAGCCUCCUCCAAGGGCAGUUGUUGGAGCAACUCCUUGUGGCCCACAGCCACUCUUUGAGUGCUUGGAACGCACCCUCACUUCUGCACAUCUGAAUUCACAGUGCCAGAGGGAAUGGUGGAACCUGGAGUUCUGCUCCUGCUUCUCUGUGGCCAGGUAUCAGUCCACAUAUGACAGACUGGCUGCAAAUUGGGUUUCCUGUAACUGUUACUAUUUGGGCUGCAGCAAUCCAGGGGAGAGAUGUGCAAUCUGCAAAUCAAACCAGCUUGCCUUGCCUAGUAAAAGAUCCAAAGGGGAAAGGAAUGGAUGGGAUUUUCAGAAGCCAGUGAUGCCAGCCAGCACUGCCACCUUCCCCUGGUGCAGUUCUUACACUAUUAGACAAGAUAGAUGUGAGACCAAGGAACAUCUCCUGGAAUUAAUUGGCUGUCGGUCUGGAAAUGUGACUCAAUGUUUGUUGGGACCUCCUUGAGAUCUGGAGGGAAAUCAAAGGGAUGAGAUCUGGAACACUAGACACUAGGGCUAGGUGGAGCUCAAAAUCCACGUUAGAUGUACAUCUCCGUUCCCUAUAGCUAUGCCUGAUAAUAGCACAAGACAGACCAGAGCAACGUGCUACCGAUCAUAUGUCUGCUUUCAUCACAGAUUUAAUGGGGCUAGAUAUAAUGAGCUCCCCAGCUACAAAGCAUUGUGCUGGACUGCUGGCCAGCAGUGAGGUCCCAUCCAGAGAAGAAAGGCGCAUCAGUCCAUAGGCUUUCAUAUGCAUGGCCUUAGACCAAAAGCUGUAACACUGUGUGCACAAGGGGGUAGUUAUUACAAGGGACGGAAACCUUUGUACUUCAGUGUCUUCCUAGCAAGAACACGAUGCCAGCUUUCAAAGCACGUAGGGAGAGGACACUCCUUGUCAGCACAACUUUACUUUAGAGAAGACUUGCUUUUUUGCUGUUUCAUUUGGAGCUGACUCUUUGCUCUUCUGUCAUGGGUACAGCGUAGACAGGAAAGAAGAGGAAGCAGUGGGAAUGACAGCGUUUACUUGCAGUAUGUUGUCCCCCUGGGCAAACAGCCUCACAGAAGCACAAAGUGGCUGGUAAAUAGAACAGGCAAAGCUGAAAAGGAAGUGUCUAGACUGCUUAUUAUUCUAGGUUCUUUCAGUUCUUGCAGAAAAUGCUUCCUGUUUAACCACUCUCUUCUCUCAUAUCCACAUAUUUAUAUAUGGUUUUAUGUACUUACAUGAAAACCAACCCAUCCCAAGCUGACCUAACUGGUUCUCAUUUGGAGGUGGUAGAAAGGGGGUGACUGUAAUUGCUGUCCAGCCUUGGGGAUGGCCAGUACAGGGAACCUGUAGGUGUCUUGAGAAACUGCUGUGCAGAAAUACAAGCUGAUGUAAAUCUGUAUCACUAAAUGAGUGCAAUGGAAAAAUGUACAUUUUGCAAAUAUGUUAGCAUUUGUACAAAACCUAGGAAAUGCCUUUUCCAAGGUUUGAGAAAUAAUUUUAAAUCCAGAAAGCUGACUACUCUGACCAGAUAUAUCUGUUGAAAGCUGAAGGGAUAGGCUGUGGGCACCCUGGGUGCUCUUUCAGCCUGUCCCACCAGGAGGUUGGAUUAGUCCAGCUCCAGAGCUCAAGCAUAUACACAGUUAUCUUCUAUUCCCAGCAAAUAGCUGGGAGCCUACAGCAUGGUCAGCAGCUUGAAAGGGAAGAUCCCAGUGGAGAAGCAGAGUGUAGGACUUCCUAUCACAACGUUCACCAUCAGAGCAUGCUAGUGUGCCUGCUUUCCAGCUGUGCUCCUGAGGUGUAUGGCCUAUUUUUAAAGGCUGCAAAAGGCAGCUGCUGAUCAUUCCGAAUACAUUGAACUGAGUAGCUCCUUUGGAGUCAGGCUCUGCUAGCUCACUCUCUUGGGGCAUAUAACUUCUUGAAACCUGCAAUGGCCAGGCCCACUGGCAGUCAGGGCAUGAGCUCCCUUGCCCCCUCUUAGCUCCAUGGCCAGCAGUCUGGCAGUUCAUUCUCUGUGGGCGGCCUUUUGCAUCACUGCACUGAUCCCAUGCCACUUGAAACCAGAUCUACCCAGCAACUGGGACCCGUUAUUCUCUCAAGAAGGUCUUCCAGGAUCUAAAAAUACCAAUCCAGCACAGUGGACACACGUCUGGAUCACUAGACAAGGCCUUUUCUCCUGCUACUAACAACACUGAAGCAGUGAAAAACUAAAAAAUGUCUACAUGCAAAGAAAGCACUUUCUGAGGAAUCCUCAGCCAUGGGCAGAAAAUACAGCCGCCCGCCCAACUCCGGCUCCGAAGUAAGAGAAUCCCCGUGUUGAGUGAGUGCAGGCGCUCGCCGGCUGACACAGCAUCCCCACGCAAUCACAAGGGUCUCUUUAUGGAGCAGCAAUGCGGGCACGCGGGGCCGAGGCCAGCCUAACCAAAUCAGCGGAGAAAAAUAAACAUCCUUGUCUUGGAAGUGCCUAGCACAAUUUCAUUAAGCCACACGAUGCCUGGGAAGGUGCCGGAUGUAUAUUUAUUGAAUUGAGCCCUAGGAGAAUAAAAGGGAAAAAGAA
This is a long non-coding RNA of Gallus gallus (chicken), 3103 nucleotides long. RefSeq lists it as uncharacterized. The record is from RefSeq and is a predicted model, not a curated record. The transcript has 2 exons. NCBI's taxonomy places the organism in Eukaryota, Metazoa, Chordata, Aves, Galliformes, Phasianidae.